This 522-nucleotide ribosomal RNA is filed under the name uncultured bacterium. RNAcentral describes it as "bacterial SSU rRNA". It matches the Rfam family "Bacterial small subunit ribosomal RNA", at positions 988 to 1509 of the family's 1533-position model. The record is from RNAcentral.
CCAGAGAACUUAGCAGAGAUGCUUUGGUGCCUUCGGGAACUCUGAGACAGGUGCUGCAUGGCUGUCGUCAGCUCGUGUUGUGAAAUGUUGGGUUAAGUCCCGCAACGAGCGCAACCCUUAUCCUUUGUUGCCAGCGGUCCGGCCGGGAACUCAAAGGAGACUGCCAGUGAUAAACUGGAGGAAGGUGGGGAUGACGUCAAGUCAUCAUGGCCCUUACGAGUAGGGCUACACACGUGCUACAAUGGCGCAUACAAAGAGAAGCGACCUCGCGAGAGCAAGCGGACCUCAUAAAGUGCGUCGUAGUCCGGAUUGGAGUCUGCAACUCGACUCCAUGAAGUCGGAAUCGCUAGUAAUCGUAGAUCAGAAUGCUACGGUCGAAUACGUUCCCGGGCCUUGUACACACCGCCCGUCACACCAUGGGAGUGGGUUGCAAAAGAAGUAGGUAGCUUAACCUUCGGGAGGGCGUUUACCACUUUGUGAUUCAUGACUGGGGUGAAGUCGUAACAAGGUAAGCGUAGCGAG